RNAcentral lists this ribosomal RNA (432 nucleotides) under uncultured bacterium. RNAcentral describes it as "partial 16S ribosomal RNA". It matches the Rfam family "Bacterial small subunit ribosomal RNA", at positions 29 to 506 of the family's 1533-position model. The record is from RNAcentral.
AACGAACGCUGGCGGCAUGCCUAACACGUGCAAGUCGAACGAGACCUUCGGGUCUAGUGGCGCACGGGUGCGUAACGCGUGGGAACCUGCCCUUAGGUUCGGAAUAACUCCCCGAAAGGGGUGCUAAUACCGGAUAAUGUCUUCGGACCAAAGAUUUAUCGCCUUUGGAUGGGCCCGCGUUGGAUUAGCUAGUUGGUAGGGUAAAAGCCUACCAAGGCGACGAUCCAUAGCUGGUCUGAGAGGAUGAUCAGCCACACUGGGACUGAGACACGGCCCAGACUCCUACGGGAGGCAGCAGUGGGGAAUAUUGGACAAUGGGCGAAAGCCUGAUCCAGCAAUGCCGCGUGAGUGAUGAAGGCCUUAGGGUUGUAAAGCUCUUUUACCCGGGAUGAUAAUGACAGUACCGGGAGAAUAAGCUCCGGCUAACUCCGU